UACGGGGGGAGCAAGCGUUGUUCGGAUUUACUGGGCGUAAAGGGCGCGUAGGCGGCGUGACAAGUCACUUGUGAAAUCUCCAGGCUUAACUCGGAGCGGUCAAGUGAUACUGUCGUGCUAGAGUGCGGAAGGGGCUACUGGAAUUCUCGGUGUAGCGGUGAAAUGCGUAGAUAUCGAGAGGAACACCUGCGGCGAAGGCGGGUAGCUGGGCCGACACUGACGCUGAUGCGCGAAAGCCAGGGGAGCGAACGGG
RNAcentral lists this ribosomal RNA (253 nucleotides) under uncultured bacterium. Its description in RNAcentral is "partial 16S ribosomal RNA". It matches the Rfam family "Bacterial small subunit ribosomal RNA", at positions 524 to 776 of the family's 1533-position model. The record is from RNAcentral.